UACGUGGGGGGCAAAUGUUGUUCGGAAUCACUGGGCGUAAAGGGAGCGUAGGCGGGUUUUUAAGUCAGGUGUUUAAUCCCGGGGCCCAACCCCGGACAGGCACUUGAAACUGGGAAUCUUGAAUAGUGGAGAGGUCGGUGGAAUUGGGGGUGUAGCGGUGGAAUGCGUAGAGAUCCGGAAGAACACCGGUGGCGAAGGCGGCCUGCUGGGCUAUGGCUGACACUGAGGCGCGACAGCGUGGGGAGCAAACAGG
Molecule: ribosomal RNA, 253 nt
Filed under: uncultured bacterium
Lineage: Bacteria
Description: partial 16S ribosomal RNA
Rfam family: Bacterial small subunit ribosomal RNA
Source: RNAcentral